AUUAUUAUUAGGUUUCCCCCCCAUUUUUUUCCAGAUACAACUUCUAUGGACAAUAUUGUUAGUUUAUCAGACAGCGCAGAAGACAAAUCAUUCAUUAUAAUCCCAAUAGUGCUAGUGGUUGGUGCUUUUUCAUUGGCUGCACUUAUUAUCACCUGGCUCAGAUAUCACAAGAAAGCACAAAUGACAGCAUCAAAUGAAAAACAACACACACUGAAUCCUGAAACUGAAACUACUACAAACAAAUUCCACAAAGGUGAAGAUGUGGUGACUUACAUUGAAUUGAACUACAAUGUACUGAAACCAAGUAAAGAAGACAUAAACAACCAAUAUCAAAAAACUGAAUAUGCAGUGAUAAAAAUGUCCUAAUUGUCUGUGAUAAAUAAACCUGAAUUGUACAAAAGAAAAAUGUGUUGCUUUUAUGGAGAAAAUGAGUGGUGUGUAGAAGAUAAUUUCUCAUUAGAGUAUGAAGAUUCCAUGAGGUCAUUGUCAGUGUUUUUAAUUCUUUAUUGAAAUAUUCAAAAUCCUUUAAUUUCAUGAAUUUUUAUAAACGUUCAUGUAAAAAUAAAGUCUCUUCAUUUAUUAUUUGCUCUUAAACUAUGUUUGUUGUAUGUUCAAAACACUACUAUUUAAAUUAAGCUGAAACAGGAUUAUUGAC
Molecule: non-coding RNA, 655 nt
Organism: Danio rerio (zebrafish)
Lineage: Eukaryota; Metazoa; Chordata; Actinopteri; Cypriniformes; Danionidae
Source: RefSeq, a predicted model, not a curated record